GGGGUCGUCGUCUAGCUUGGUCUAGGACACCAGCCUGGGGCGCUGGAAAUCUCGGGUUCAAAUCCCGACGACCCCA
This 76-nucleotide transfer RNA is filed under the name Thermoproteota archaeon. Its description in RNAcentral is "tRNA-Pro". It matches the Rfam family "tRNA". From Rfam's summary of the family: Transfer RNA (tRNA) molecules are approximately 80 nucleotides in length. Their secondary structure includes four short double-helical elements and three loops (D, anti-codon, and T loops). RNAcentral also lists the same sequence under 2 other names. The record is from RNAcentral. Lineage: Archaea; Thermoproteati; Thermoproteota.